UCCGAGUCUCUUUCAUUCAUUUGCUUGAG
Molecule: non-coding RNA, 29 nt
Filed under: Mus musculus (house mouse)
Lineage: Eukaryota; Metazoa; Chordata; Mammalia; Rodentia; Muridae
Source: RNAcentral